GUUCUUUUAGCUUAAAAAAAGCGUAAUAUUGAAAAUAUUAAGUUAUCUUUUUGAUUUAGAACA
This 63-nucleotide transfer RNA is filed under the name Thrips palmi. RNAcentral describes it as "tRNA-Phe". The record is from RNAcentral. Lineage: Eukaryota; Metazoa; Arthropoda; Insecta; Thysanoptera; Thripidae.